UACGUAGGUGGCAAGCGUUAUCCGGAUUUACUGGGUGUAAAGGGUGUGUAGGCGGGUGAUCAAGUCAGAUGUGAAAUACCUUGGCUCAACCAAGGAAUUGCAUUUGAAACUGACCAUCUUGAGAGCAGGAGAGGUAAGCGGAAUUCCCAGUGUAGCGGUGAAAUGCGUAGAGAUUGGGAGGAACACCAGUGGCGAAGGCGGCUUACUGGACUGCAACUGACGCUGAAACACGAGAGCGUGGGGAG
This 245-nucleotide ribosomal RNA is filed under the name uncultured Lachnospiraceae bacterium. Its description in RNAcentral is "partial 16S ribosomal RNA". It matches the Rfam family "Bacterial small subunit ribosomal RNA", at positions 524 to 768 of the family's 1533-position model. Lineage: Bacteria; Bacillati; Bacillota; Clostridia; Lachnospirales; Lachnospiraceae. The record is from RNAcentral.